UAAUGCCUGGGAAUUUGCCCAUUUGUGGGGGAUAACAGUUGGAAACGACUGCUAAUACCGCAUACGCCCUACGGGGGAAAGCAGGGGACCUUCGGGCCUUGCGCUGAUGGAUAAGCCCAGGUGGGAUUAGCUAGUAGGUGAGGUAAAGGCUCACCUAGGCGACGAUCCCUAGCUGGUCUGAGAGGAUGAUCAGCCACACUGGGACUGAGACACGGCCCAGACUCCUACGGGAGGCAGCAGUGGGGAAUAUUGCACAAUGGGGGAAACCCUGAUGCAGCCAUGCCGCGUGUGUGAAGAAGGCCUUCGGGUUGUAAAGCACUUUCAGCGAGGAGGAAAGGGUGUAAGUUAAUACCUUACAUCUGUGACGUUACUCGCAGAAGAAGCACCGGCUAACUCCGUGCCAGCAGCCGCGGUAAUACGGAGGGUGCGAGCGUUAAUCGGAAUUACUGGGCGUAAAGCGUGCGCAGGCGGUUUGUUAAGCGAGAUGUGAAAGCCCCGGGCUCAACCUGGGAACCGCAUUUCGAACUGGCAAACUAGAGUCUUGUAGAGGGGGGUAGAAU
Molecule: ribosomal RNA, 560 nt
Filed under: Shewanella algae
Lineage: Bacteria; Pseudomonadati; Pseudomonadota; Gammaproteobacteria; Alteromonadales; Shewanellaceae
Description: bacterial SSU rRNA
Rfam family: Bacterial small subunit ribosomal RNA
Source: RNAcentral